RNAcentral lists this long non-coding RNA (373 nucleotides) under Fukomys damarensis (Damara mole-rat). Its description in RNAcentral is "lncRNA (ENSFDAG00000022295.1)". Lineage: Eukaryota; Metazoa; Chordata; Mammalia; Rodentia; Bathyergidae. The record is from RNAcentral.
GCAUCACAGAAUGUAUUUUAAAAAGAGAAGAUUUGCAAAGGUCAAAAGAAGAAAAUAAAUGACCCAAACUUGUAACAACAAAGCUCUGCCCAACCUUCUUCUAAAGAGCGACCUUCUCCACGAAAACAAGUGGUGUAAUGCUCCUUAGCCAUCUUGCAGAUUUUUGAAAGGAAACUGGAUUCUUUCCAAGGUCCCUAAAGGAAGCGCAAUUUCUCCCAUCAUUUCCAAAACCCUGGCCUCACAGCUCCAGAACCUUGAUAUUGGAGAGGAUUUCUGUAGACCAAGAAAACAAGAUGCAGUCACAAAACACAUUAUGGUGAUGUUAUACUUUUAGAAGUGACGUGAAAGGUAAGUUAUUCUAAUCUCCUAUCUG